RNAcentral lists this ribosomal RNA (1148 nucleotides) under uncultured bacterium. RNAcentral's name for it is "partial 16S ribosomal RNA". It matches the Rfam family "Bacterial small subunit ribosomal RNA", at positions 9 to 1151 of the family's 1533-position model. The record is from RNAcentral.
AAGCMWGAYWUGGCUAAMAGUGAAACUGGCGGCGUCWUGGKCAAUGCAAGUCGAACGAUGAAGWKUUCGGGGUGGAUUAGUGGCGCACGGGUGAGUAAUAUAUAGUUAAUGUACCUUCAAGACUGGGAUAGCCACUGGAAACGGUGAUUAAUACUAGAUAUACCUCUCUAACAUAAGUUAGAGUGGGAAAUGUUUUUUCGCUUGAAGAUCAGACUAUAUCCCAUCAGUUUGUUGGUGAGGUAAUGGCUCACCAAGGCAAUGACGGGUAGCGGGUUUGAGAGGAUGAUCCGCCACACUGGUACUGAGACACGGACCAGACUCCUACGGGAGGCAGCAGUGAGGAAUAUUGCACAAUGGGGGAAAUCCUGAUGCAGCAACGCCGCGUGGAGGAUGACGCAUUUCGGUGUGUAAACUCCUUUUAUGAGUCAAGAUAAUGACGGUACCUAAUGAAUAAGCACCGGCUAACUCCGUGCCAGCAGCCGCGGUAAUACGGAGGGUGCAAGCGUUACUCGGAAUCACUGGGCGUAAAGGGUGCGUAGGCUGGCUUCUAAGUCAGAUGUGAAAUCCAAUGGCUCAACCAUUGAACUGCAUUUGAAACUGGGAGCCUAGAGUUCAGAAGGGGCAGAUGGAAUUAGUGGUGUAAGGGUAAAAUCCGUAGAUAUCACUAGGAAUAUCAAAAGCGAAGGCGAUCUGCUGGGAUGAUACUGACGCUGAGCACGAAAGCGUGGGGAGCAAACAGGAUUAGAUACCCUGGUAGUYCACGCCCUAAACGAUGAAUGCUAGUCGUCGGGAAGCUCGUCUUUUCAGUGACGCACUUAACAGAUUAAGCAUUCCGCCUGGGGGAGUACGGUCGCAGAUUAAACUCAAAGGAAUAGACGGACCCGCACAGUGUGAGCAUGUGUUUAGUCGAGAUACACGAGAUCUACUGCCUUGACAUGUAGACCUARARAAWUAGGGUGCUAGCUGCUAGACUACCACAGUGCUGCACGCUGYGUCASCUCCUKCYKKGARAKWUGGGUAAGUUCCSCACGAGGCACCCYYSCCCUAWUUGCUGAMGUCGCUGACCUCUAMGAAAYGCUYSCYUAGAGAAAGUAGGASCUGACUCUUGGCCUUACKCGGGGSUMCACCGGKCUYAWWURKGGGGGCGU